UACGUAGGCAGCGAGCGUUGUUCGGAGUUACUGGGCGUAAAGAGUGCGUAGGUGGUCCUCUAAGUUUGGUGUGAAAUCUCCCGGCUCAACUGGGAGGGUGCGCCGAAAACUGGGGGACUAGAGUGUGGGAGAGGAAAGCGGAAUUCCUGGUGUAGCGGUGAAAUGCGUAGAUAUCAGGAGGAACACCUGCGGUGUAGACGGCUUUCUGGACCACUACUGACACUGAGGCACGAAAGCGUGGGGAGCAAACAGG
This 253-nucleotide ribosomal RNA is filed under the name uncultured bacterium. RNAcentral describes it as "partial 16S ribosomal RNA". It matches the Rfam family "Bacterial small subunit ribosomal RNA", at positions 524 to 776 of the family's 1533-position model. The record is from RNAcentral.